CCAUUGUAUGCAACAAACUGCUACACAUUUUAGUUUUGGAUUGCAUUAUUUGUUCUUCUUCUGCUUCUAAUAAGAACGAGCAUAUACUCAUCUUGCUACAUUGACACGAUGAUUUAUUUAUUUGUAGGAAUCUGUUUUCUCAUGUUCCAUACUUCUAUUUAUUUUCAGUAACAAUGAACAUGCCACUGUUGUGCCAAACGAAAACCCAAACCAGCCGCAGAUGCCGGCGAGGAGCAUGCUGAGGGAAGGGACACACUGACUGAAUCAUGUGAACAUCAAAUAUAGUUGCAUUUUCUUGAUGUCAUUUAUGACUACCGGCUCCCAUACUGAGCAUGAAUUGAUGAUAUAGAAGCAAAGGCAUCUAGAUGAGCUGAAAUUGGUAGUGGUCAAACCAUGGGAAGGGAGCAAACAGCAAGGCCAGAAACAUGUACGUCUGCCCACACUGAACUAUACUUCCCUUGAGUGUUCUCUUCUUAUACCUGCAUAUUCCUUGCAAGGAUCGACAAAUAUCAUGCAUCAUCUCUUGGGAGAAGACCAAGAAAGCCACGGUCGAGGGAAAGAAGAGGGCCACAGGGAUAAUCUGGCUUAUUUAAGUAAGGUAGUGAAACAGCAGUCCUGGAGGUAUGCUGCUCUUUUACAUCCUAUUGUUCUUGAACCAACAGUUACGCAAGUACAACAAAAUUGGUCAGAAGCUCUUUGUUGUGAUCUAAUAAUAUAACCUAAAAUGUGUAAUAUUAUAUCUAUUAAAUCAUGCUUUUUAUAAACACGGUUGAUAUGGUAUCUAAUAUCUGAGGUAAGCACUUCUUUUUCCUAUAGAUUCUACCAUAUUUAUUGGCUCGGAACAUUACCAUGCUUUGCAGUUGUAUUUGCAAAUUGUAGACAUCAAGAAUUUACCAUCUUUAAUUCUUGAGAAAAGCGUGUAUGUAUGGUUCACCAGGAGUCAAGCAAUAUGUUUAUCAGCGAUGGUGCCAGAUUAGAUAUUUUUAGUGAAAACAUGAGUAUUGGAUCUGGUUUUCAGUGUGAACCUACUGAAGAACUCAGUCUGACACUAAUGGUUGAUCAUUAGUUCACCUUCCAAAGUGAUAAUUUUCUUUGAAUGUAAUUUAAUAUUGUCCACCAGUAGUGUUCUUAUUUUUUACAGAUUUGUUGAGAUGGACGAGGUCGUGGAGCCAAUGAGAGGCGUUGCGGACUCACCAUGUGCUUGCUGCUGGAGAAGGCACAUGAGGUCGAGAUUCCAGAAGUAAUUGAUGUUGCAGCCAUGGGUAUUGCGUUGAUCAAUAGCAGGGCAUCUUACCGCAUCCAGAUAACAGCCUCCAACCAUAGUAAGGACAUUGUCUCGAUGGGAGAAGGUGCAGGCGACCUAGCCUUCUCUUACCCAUAUCUGUGAGGGAAGCAGCCUUCAGUGACAACGGCUAAAUCUUGCAAGUUUUUUCUGCCUCCACUAGGAAUCUUCUAUCUUUUUGUGCUCUAAUAAUGGAGUCGGUACAUGUGCAAAUUGAAAUUUCCAUCAUAGAUGCUGCCAGCCAUUGAUUUUCUAUUUGGCAUUUAGGUUGACCCAAAACUAAAGUAGACUAUGCAUAUAAUUUGGCCAUCAGUGCUAUGUAUGCUUUUCCUUCACGAAUUUCGGACAGAUAGAACAGGGCCAACAACAUGUUUGGGAGAAUUUAAGGAGACGAGGAUGGAGCAGACAGAGAUGUGAAGCCAGAUGUGUGUCAUGUGACUCUGACAUCCCACAUCUCAGCAACAAUUUAUUUUCUGCUUGAUCGGUGUGUGAUUGAUCCUAGGACGACCUGUAGAAUGCACGGCGCCUUGUGAAUAUUUUUUGUAUGAAUCAUGUCACAAGGGUGUUGGCUACCACGUUAGGUGCUUCGUUACGGGGGCCUUUAUCAAUUGCAGCACAGAGCUUCUAAGCCUUAUUCACCAUCUUUUUUGAGUUGGAUUGAGGUUUGUCUCUGACCAUCCACUUCUCCGAGCUUUCCUUUUGUUAGUGUGUUAAAUUUUUGUGAGUAGAAAUUAAGAGGACCAGACGCAUGCUAUCUUAUUUUGUGGUGAAGUCUACUGCCUUUGGUCACGUUGUUUCUUUGUAAGGAUUGAUGUGUUAUGACACAUACACAUGCAAACUAUAUUGUUUAUUUAUACUCCUCUUUUGACACAGAAUGCUUAAUUACCUCGCUCAUAGUGCAUACUCGUGCAGGAGGUGCUGAUCAACAGCACAUGAAACCGGCAGCAUGGCAGAUGCCGCAGAUGGAAGGUUCUUCUGGUUUAUCAGCUUGGUAAGAAACUCAUGAAUCCUAGAUUUCCUCUACAUAGGCUUUGAAAUCCCUUGACCACAAUUGCAUUCCACCGUGACUCGUAUGCAUAGAAUUAGGGAAACUGUGUGCAAGAAGCUAUGCUAAAAUCUGCAGUAUUAGGUUUCGUAUGUCUUUGGAUUAAUUUUCUUUAACAACCACUAUCAUCUUUGGUUCCUUAUAUAACCAAUCAACAAUUGAAACAAAUGUUUUUUUUCCAUUAUAGCCGUGUUAGCUUUGUAAACUACCUUAUUCUUGCAUUAUUUCAACAAUAUAUUAUCAUCCCCUUUGAUCAUUUUUAUAUUGAUGCUUGAGUGAUAGGAAUCAUGAUCUAUUGCAUGUUAGUCCUUUAACACAGUGUGUUGCAGCCUGG
Non-coding RNA from Lolium perenne, 2661 nucleotides. Lineage: Eukaryota; Viridiplantae; Streptophyta; Magnoliopsida; Poales; Poaceae. The record is from RefSeq and is a predicted model, not a curated record.